CGAAAGGCUCUUUUCAGGGCCACCCACAUUAUCUUAAAAGAGCUGG
Regulatory RNA element from Loxodonta africana (African savanna elephant), 46 nucleotides. It matches the Rfam family "Histone 3' UTR stem-loop". From Rfam's summary of the family: The mRNAs of metazoan histone genes lack a poly-A tail. 3' end processing occurs at a site between a highly conserved stem-loop (modelled by this family) and a purine rich region around 20 nts downstream (the histone downstream element, or HDE). The record is from Rfam. Lineage: Eukaryota; Metazoa; Chordata; Mammalia; Proboscidea; Elephantidae.